GAUGAACGCUGGCGGCGUGCCUAAUACAUGCAAGUCGAGCGAACAGACGAGGAGCUUGCUCCUCUGACGUUAGCGGCGGACGGGUGAGUAACACGUGGAUAACCUACCUAUAAGACUGGGAUAACUUCGGGACACCGGAGCUAAUACCGGAUAAUAUAUUGAACCGCAUGGUUCAAUAGUGAAAGACGGUUUUGCUGUCACUUAUAGAUUGAUCCGCGCCGCAUUAGCUAGUUGGUAAGGUAACGGCUUACCAAGGCGACGAUGCGUAGCCGACCUGAGAGGGUGAUCGGCCACACUGGAACUGAGACACGGUCCAGACUCCUACGGGAGGCAGCAGUAGGGAAUCUUCCGCAAUGGGCGAAAGCCUGACGGAGCAACGCCGCGUGGGUGAUGAAGGUCUUCGGAUCGUAAAACUCUGUUAUUAGGGAAGAACAAAUGUGUAAGUAACUAUGCACGUCUUGACGGUACCUAAUCAGAAAGCCACGGCUAACUACGUG
RNAcentral lists this ribosomal RNA (497 nucleotides) under uncultured bacterium. Its description in RNAcentral is "partial 16S ribosomal RNA". It matches the Rfam family "Bacterial small subunit ribosomal RNA", at positions 28 to 507 of the family's 1533-position model. The record is from RNAcentral.